Molecule: long non-coding RNA, 568 nt
Organism: Leptinotarsa decemlineata (Colorado potato beetle)
Lineage: Eukaryota; Metazoa; Arthropoda; Insecta; Coleoptera; Chrysomelidae
Source: RefSeq, a predicted model, not a curated record
UCCGUGUUUACUAUUUUCACAGUGGGUGCUUGUGACAAACAACGGCUCUCGAAAGGGCGGCUAUAAACGAUACACAAAUUCAAACAAAUGUGUUGGUAACUCAAAGUGUUUUUCGGAGUUCUCCACAAUUUAACAGUCAGACUUUACGCUGAUUUGUCGAGUGUCGUCUACAUGUGUUUUUUCAGUUGUUGCAUUAAAGGAUUCGACAAAGAUUCACAUGGGUUCAUCAAAGCGACAACCGAAGAAUUCUACAAAGAAGUGAGCAGAGCAUCAGUCGAAGUCUUGCUUGAAGACAGACAGAAUGGCACAUUCAUUAUAAGACCGUCUACAAAUUCCAAUCUGGGCACAAUGUCUGUUAUCCAAGAUAAUAAAAUAUUUCAUCUGAGCAUAAGGAGAAGGGGAGACGGAUACAUAGCCCUUGGAAAUGAAAAAAGCAACGAGAAAUGUUUCAGUGACCUGGAUUCUUUAAUUGAUUAUUACAUUAGUAAUUAUUUGGUGUUAUAUUCGAAUGGAGAAACGACACUCACUUUAUUGAUACCUUUCAAAGAAAAUAAAAUCCUGUGACAUU